RNAcentral lists this ribosomal RNA (552 nucleotides) under uncultured bacterium. RNAcentral's name for it is "partial 16S ribosomal RNA". It matches the Rfam family "Bacterial small subunit ribosomal RNA", at positions 355 to 921 of the family's 1533-position model. The record is from RNAcentral.
UGGGGAAUAUUGGACAAUGGGCGCAAGCCUGAUCCAGCCAUGCCGCGUGAGUGAUGAAGGCCCUAGGGUUGUAAAGCUCUUUCGCCAGGGACGAUAAUGACGGUACCUGGAUAAGAAGCCCCGGCUAACUUCGUGCCAGCAGCCGCGGUAAUACGAAGGGGGCUAGCGUUGUUCGGAAUCACUGGGCGUAAAGCGCACGUAGGCGGAUCUUUAAGUCAGGGGUGAAAUCCCGAGGCUCAACCUCGGAACUGCCUUUGAUACUGGAGGUCUCGAGUCCGGGAGAGGUGAGUGGAACUGCGAGUGUAGAGGUGAAAUUCGUAGAUAUUCGCAAGAACACCAGUGGCGAAGGCGGCUCACUGGCCCGGUACCGACGCUGAGGUGCGAAAGCGUGGGGAGCAAAACAGGAUUAGAUACCCUGGUAGUCCACGCCGUAAACUAUGGAUGCUAGCCGUUGGGCAGCUUGCUGUUCGGUGGCGCAGCUAACGCUUUAAGCAUCCCGCCCUGGGGGAGUACGGUCGCAAGAUUAAAAACUCAAAUGAAUUGACGGGGGUC